GCCGUUUCAGAUAUUAAUUUCAAAGAAAUAUUACAGUUCCAUUUCAGCAGCCAUGCACAUCACAUAUUGUUUGUCCAUUCCAAGGAUUGUAGUCUCUUCCACAUGUUUCAAUGGUCAGCCGAAUUUUUACAGAGCACAAAUGACCCUAAUUAUUGAAAUCUUGUAGAAUUCUCUGUAAUACAGAAAACAAAGAUCCUUUCUUGUUGAGUAAGAAUCGUGCGUCUCUCUCUCCAAAUUUUUCAAUACAUUGCCGCAGCUAAUUAAUCCCAACGCUGCUGAACGUUACCUUUCUAUUUUUUUACUUUCAAACAGUCUAAAGAUCAUGAAAACCUAUAGGUCUCCCUCUCAGAUUAAACUGAAGUUUUAAGUGUAGUCCGGAGACUCUUCACAAAAGGGAAUCUAAAAAAUAGGUGACUACCUGAUUCGGUAUUUGCUCCACAUAGAGAACAGCCAGUGCUCACAUUCCAUCCCUUCUUUGCAAGCGCUUCUCCAGAAUAGCUUAUUUUCUUAAGCCAGCCAAAGAAAAACCGUUACCCUUUCCGGCAUAGGAGCCUUCCAAAUACUUCUUAUGUAUAGAUAUCUCAAAUCACUGAAGUUUAGGAAUGAAUAAAAUGAAUCCACAGUGAACAUACCAUUUUGUGUUAAUUUCCACACUGGCACAUUGGCGAUAUGAAAUGGUGUAAAAGGGGCAAGAAGGCCUUGCAAUGCCUCCAGCUGAGAGGGGUCUCUCUCAAAAAACAGUUGUUCACAUAAUGAAAGGCAUAGAACUUACAUAGUUGGUGAAAAAACCAAUGUAAUAACUGGCCGCAGAAGAAUUGUUUAAGUUCAACAUAAGUUGCACCGCAUACUGGUGAUUGGUAAAGAAUCCACUUUAGCCGGUGGUAAGGGCUAAUGAGAAUUGAUGGUCUUCUAAACUACGCCAGCUCUCUUUCUUAAUGACCAAAAGAUAAAUUAAAUUGUUAAAGAUAUGCACCGUUGGAAUGACUGAAACGAAAACUCAAACUCAGAAAUCAGUGAUCACAGGAUGCACUUCAUAAAUGUGCCUACCAAAAGCACAAAGGCGUGGACAAAAAGAUGAAUGACUGGAGCUCCUUAAACUCUUUCUAUUAGUAAUUACAGGAUUCACUUCACAGAUCUGCCUAUCAAAAGCACUAAGGCAUGGGCAGAAUACACUGAUCUAAUCCAAACAAAAGAUGGCAAUCACUAAAGCAACUUGCCAUAAUCAUCCAACAAGAUUUACUUGGAUAUGGAAAUCCAUUACAAACUAAAAGAACAAUUAAUGUUCUAUGCUAAACUAAAGCUCAGGGGCCAAGGUGUGGUCUAGGAGAACUAAAGACAGGUAAAUCUAACUGAAGUCUCAUUCAAAAAAAAAAAAAGUAAUUCAUCCAUGCAGAAAAGCCAAUGCAUCAUAAUCUGAAUGCAGUAAAUAACUUAGAAACUGCAGUUUCUUCCUUCAGAAUUUAAGAUUCCUAUACAUCCUGCUUCACUGAAUUCCACCAAUCACAAAAUUAAAACAGCUACCCGGCCUUAGACCUCUGGUCUAAAUUGCUUGGGCUGUUAACCGGCAUUUUUCACCCAAUCCUGAACCCAGAAUAGGGACAUGAAAAACCAUCCAUUCAUGACCAGGAAGUCUUAAUCAAUACAUCAACUUCUGUCACAGCUUAAAAAAAUAUUCUUGAAUGACUUGAGACAAAAGNNN
RNAcentral lists this long non-coding RNA (1699 nucleotides) under Elaeis guineensis (African oil palm). RNAcentral describes it as "long non-coding RNA (EGUI_LNC027036)". Lineage: Eukaryota; Viridiplantae; Streptophyta; Magnoliopsida; Arecales; Arecaceae. The record is from RNAcentral.